GAUGAACGCUGGCGGCGUGCCUAAUACAUGCAAGUAGAACGCUGAAGGAGGAGCUUGCUCUUCUGGAUGAGUUGCGAACGGGUGAGUAACGCGUAGGUAACCUGCCUGGUAGCGGGGGAUAACUAUUGGAAACGAUAGCUAAUACCGCAUGACAACAGUUAUUGCAUGAUAACUGUUUAAAAGGGGCAACUGCUCCACUACCAGAUGGACCUGCGUUGUAUUAGCUAGUUGGUGAGGUAACGGCUCACCAAGGCGACGAUACAUAGCCGACCUGAGAGGGUGAUCGGCCACACUGGGACUGAGACACGGCCCAGACUCCUACGGGAGGCAGCAGUAGGGAAUCUUCGGAAAUGGACGGAAGUCUGACCGAGCAACGCCGCGUGAGUGAAGAAGGUUUUCGGAUCGUAAAGCUCUGUUGUAAGAGAAGAAAGAGUGUGAGAGUGGAAAGUUCACACUGUGACGGUAUCUUACCAGAAAGGGACGGCUAACUACGUG
This 495-nucleotide ribosomal RNA is filed under the name uncultured bacterium. RNAcentral describes it as "partial 16S ribosomal RNA". It matches the Rfam family "Bacterial small subunit ribosomal RNA", at positions 28 to 507 of the family's 1533-position model. The record is from RNAcentral.